Molecule: RNA transcript, 2905 nt
Organism: Sorghum bicolor (sorghum)
Lineage: Eukaryota; Viridiplantae; Streptophyta; Magnoliopsida; Poales; Poaceae
Gene name: exocyst complex component SEC15B
Exons: 3
Source: RefSeq, a predicted model, not a curated record
CCGAUUUUUUUUUUCCUUUCCUCUUCACAACUCGGCAACUGCUGAGCUGCCUCCAACUCAUUUGCUUACCAUCCCUACCGCCUGCCUCAGAUCUCGAUGCGGCGCAAGCUCCCCGGCGACGCGCCGCUGUCGGCGGCGGGGGCCGGUCAUGCGUCGUCCGCAUCCGCGCCGUCCGAGGCGGACCUCGCGCAGCUCUCCGCCGCCAUCGCGGCCGGGGAGGACCUGGGCCCCUUCGUGCGCCGGGCCUUCGCGUGCGGCCGCCCCGAGCCGCUGCUCGCCUCGCUCCGCGGCGCGGCGCGGGACCGCGAGGCCGAGAUCGAGGAGCUCUGCCGCGCGCACUUCCACGAUUUCAUCCGCGCUGUCGACGACCUCCGUUCCCUCCUGGCCGACGCCGACGCGCUCAAGGGCUCCCUCUCCGCGUCCCACUCCGCGCUUCUCUCAUCGGCGGCCCCGCUGCUCGCCUCGCUUGAGUCCUUCCUCGUCGCGCGCUCGCUCGCGGGGAACCUCUCCUCCGCGCUAGCCUCCUCCCGCCGGUGCGUACGGCUGCUCGCGCUCGCGGCGCGGGCGAACGCGCACCUCCAGGCCGGCAACCAUGGGCUCUAUCUCGCCCUGCGCGCCGUCGACGCCAUCGACCGUGAUCUCGCCUCGGGACCCGAGCCGCUGCCGCUACCCACGCUCCGCCGCAUGCUGCUCAGCGUCGUCCCUGCGGUGCGCGCGCAUGCCGAGCGCGAGAUCUCCAGGGAGUUCUCCGACUGGAUGGUUAGCAUCCGCGCUGCUUCCAGGCACCUCGGCCAGGUGGCCAUCGGCCGCUCGGCUGCCGCCAGGCAGCGCCAGGAAGAGCUCCGCUCCAAGCACCGCCCGCUGGAGGAGUGCAUCACCCUGGAUGACGAUGGAGUUGGUGACCUUGAUGAUUUUGCGGCAGCCGCCGCAACAGCUGACGCAGCAGAUGGUGCCGCUGCAGCCUCUUUUGACCUUACACCGCUCUAUCGAGCGAUGCAUAUACACCAGACGCUGGAGCUGGGUGAGCGGUUCAAGAAGUACUACCUGGAAAACAGGAAGCUGCAGCUGACAUCAGACUUUGAUGUCAUUGCGGCGACGCCAUUCCUCGAGUCCCACCAGGUGUUUUUCUCGCAGAUUGCUGGGUUCUUUAUUGUUGAGGACCGGGUAUUUAGAACAGGUGGUGGGCUCACAUCUCGGCCAGAUGUAGAUGCACUUUGGGAUGCCGCUGUGGGGAAGAUGGUCUCUGUGAUGGAAGACAACUUCUCCAGGAUGCAGACAGCAAACCACUUGCUUCUCAUCACUGAUUAUGCUGCUUUGCUUUCUGCCACAAUGCGGCGGUAUGGUUAUCCAGUAGGGAUGUUGCUGGAUGUGCUGGCUAAGCACAGAGACAAGUACCAUGAUUUGCUGCUUGCGGAUUGCCGUAGGCAGGUGGCAGAGGCACUGGCUGCAGAUAAGUUUGAUCAGAUGCUCAUGAGAAAGGAGUAUGAAUACUCAAUGAAUGUCCUUGCAUUUGGAAUUCAGAGCUCAGAUAUCACCCCAGCUUUCCCAUAUGUUGCACCAUUUUCAUGCACUGUCCCAGACAUUUGCCGUAUUGUUCGUUCAUUCAUUGAAGAUUCUGUGAGCUUCAUGGCACACGGGGGUGGUGGGGAUACCUAUGCAGCAGUGAAGAAGUACCUUGGUCGGAUCCUCUCUGAGGUGGUGGAUGCUUCGAUUCAAAAGCUUGUGGAUUCAGGCAGUGGUCUAAGUGUGUCCCAGGCAAUGCAGGUUGCUGCUAACAUGUCCGUGAUGGAGCGGGCAUGCGAGUUCUUCACACGCCAUGCUGCACAACUGUGUGGUGUGCCGCUGCGUGCUGUGGAGCGUGGUCGGCGGGACUUCCCACUUCGCAGGUCACGUGAUGCUGCGGAGGCACUCCUGCUGCGGCUUCUGCGCGCCAAGGCUGACGAGUUCAUGCGGCAAUCUGAUGGUGUCAGCUGGAUGGCUGAUGACCCUCCUCCUGGUGGCAAUGAGUAUGCGAACGAGGUCAUCAUCUACCUUGAGACGCUCACAUCAACUGCACAGCAGAUCCUUCCCCUUCCCGUGCUCCGCCGUGUACUUGUGGCAGUGCUUGCCCACAUCUCUGAAAGGAUCAUCGAGCUCUUCUUGAACGAUUCAGUAAAGCGGUUCAAUGCCAAUGCAGUCACUGGUAUAGAUACUGAUCUCAAAAUGUUUGAGACGUUUGCAGAGGGCAUGUCUAGCCUGUUCGUGGACUCAGGUCAAGAAUCUGCAAAAAAUGAAAUGAAGGCUGCACUAGUGGAAGCAAGGCAGCUAGUGAAUCUUCUUUUGAGCAAUAGUCCAGAGAAUUUCCUAAAUCCAGUGAUUCGUGAAAAGAACUAUAACAAGCUAGAUUAUAGAAAGGUUGCAAUCAUCUCAGAGAAGUUUAGAGAUACCUCAGAGAGUUACUUCUCAACAUUUGGGACAAGGGGUGCCAGGCAGAACCCAAAGAAGAAAUCUCUGGAUACCCUGAUCAAGAGGCUCAGAGAAGCCAGUUAGAUACCCUCCCUGCUAAGAUAGGGAUGCUUUUAUUUCCUCCCUCCAGUUCCUUACUCUUGGUAACAAGCGACUUAAUGUUAUAUAUUUGAAAGUUAUAAAGGGGCUUUGGAGUCCAAUUUACCUUGCUGUUUGGGUAUAUUGAAAUUGGAUGGUGAUUAACAGGGUAGAUGACUGUUUGCAGCUGCAGAUCUCCAGUCAUUCCCCCCCUUCAGAAAUAGUGACACUUCAAAUCAGUAGCGGUUUUUCCUACCAAUAUAGAGAAACCAGAUCCAUAGAGAAUAUGCUAUCCACUUUCUCUCUGUGUAGAAUGGUGCUAUGUAUGCCUAUGUUUGAAUUAAACACUUGGGAGGAUUUUAAAUAAAUGAACACUUAAGAG